CCAGUAGCGCACAAGAUGAAACCGUGUUUGCGUAUCACACAAUCAUUACUACCGUAACAAACAACACUCCGUAUGUAUUUUACACCCACUUCCUAGCUUACCCAAUCUCUCAAAACCCUAGUCUUCCAAGUCGUUGCCCUGAUCCUCAAAUUAAUCGGAAGGGAAAAAAAUGAGCAGCCGAGCGAGCAGGACUCUAUAUGUUGGGAAUCUGCCUGGCGAUAUUCGCGAAAAAGAAGUCGAAGAUUUAUUCUACAAGUAUGGACCUGUUGCACACAUUGAUUUGAAGAUCCCACCAAGACCCCCUGGUUAUGCCUUUGUUGAGUUUGAAGAGGCUCGAGAUGCUGAGGAUGCAAUUCGCGGUCGUGAUGGCUAUGAUUUUGAUGGGCAUCGUUUAAGGGUGGAACUUGCACAUGGUGGGCGUGGACAUUCAUCCUCAGAUCGUCAUAGUAGUUAUAGCGGUGGUCGUGGACGUGGUGGAGCAUCCAGGCGCUCUGAAUAUCGUGUUGUGGUCACUGGGUUGCCUUCUUCUGCUUCAUGGCAAGACCUCAAGGAUCAUAUGCGCCGAGCAGGAGAUGUCUGUUUCUCCCAAGUGUUCCGUGAUGGUAGUGGCACCACGGGAAUUGUUGAUUACACAAACUAUGAAGACAUGAAAUAUGCGAUUAAGAAGAUUGAUGACUCUGAGUUUCGAAAUGCAUUUUCUCAGGCAUAUGUUCGUGUGAGGGAAUAUGAUUCCAAACGGGACUCAUCUAGGAGCCCUGGCCGUGAUCGAUCUCAUUCUAGAGGCCGCAAUGAUAGUCGCAGUCGCAGUUUAAGUCGGAGCAGGAGCCGCAGCAAGUCUCCUAAAAACAAAUCCUCACGUCGGUCAUCUGCAAGGUCUCCUCCUAGGUCUGUUUCUCGGUCUCGCUCUGGGUCAAGGCCACGCUCUCUAUCAAGUGACAUGGGGAUUGGAUAUUAGGAUCUUGAUGGGAUAUGGUUCAGUUCCUGCAUCUUCUUUUUUUGGUUGUAGAGAUUGGGAACAAAGGAGAUUAUGCAUUGCAAUAUUAAGGCUGGAUUUCAGUGAACUAACUGCCAGUGGAUCUGGAAGUCUGGUCAGCAUUGAGCAGUAGAAACUGUCAUUAUCUUUUUCUACUCCAACCAUUGCCAAGCUAUUAGGACCUGCUGGCUGAACUCAUAGUGGAUUUCCUGUACGGCAGGGAAGCAUGCUUCUGUCCUGUGGGAUGGUGGCUUCAAACACAUUAUGAUUAUUUUAUUAAUGUAUAUUAUUUUAUUAGGUAUUUUAUUUAGGUCUGAUUUUUAUGAAAUGGUGCCUGAUUUUUUUUUCCCUUUUGUUUUCACUUGAAUUACUAAAGUUUAUGGCUUUUCAUAUGAUCCUUUAUGAAUGUGGUAACUCUGACGUGGAAGAGGCAUCAAGGCUCUUGGAUGAGAGUUGUUAAAAGGAACGUGUGGAUUUUAAAUUUGGGUUGUUUCUGGAACUUUUGCAGAUCCCGUUCAAGAUCAAGAUCUCCACUUUCAUCUCAUCAGAAGCGCAGUAGCAAAAGCCCAAAAAAGCCAAGUGUUAGCAGGAGCCCCAGCAGAA
RNA transcript from Populus trichocarpa (black cottonwood), 1576 nucleotides. It is a transcript of the gene named serine/arginine-rich-splicing factor SR34, with no coding region annotated. Lineage: Eukaryota; Viridiplantae; Streptophyta; Magnoliopsida; Malpighiales; Salicaceae. The transcript has 14 exons. The record is from RefSeq and is a predicted model, not a curated record.